RNAcentral lists this transfer RNA (64 nucleotides) under Mogannia minuta. RNAcentral describes it as "tRNA-Leu". The record is from RNAcentral. Lineage: Eukaryota; Metazoa; Arthropoda; Insecta; Hemiptera; Cicadidae.
AUUAUAUAAGCAUAUAGUGCAUUAAAUUUAGAAUUUAGUCAAGUAAUAAAAAUUACAUAUAAUA